This 373-nucleotide ribosomal RNA is filed under the name uncultured bacterium. RNAcentral describes it as "bacterial SSU rRNA". It matches the Rfam family "Bacterial small subunit ribosomal RNA", at positions 525 to 896 of the family's 1533-position model. The record is from RNAcentral.
ACGUAGGGUGCGAGCGUUAAUCGGAAUUACUGGGCGUAAAGCGUGCGCAGGCGGUUUUGUAAGACAGGCGUGAAAUCCCCGGGCUCAACCUGGGAACUGCGCUUGUGACUGCAAGGCUAGAGUAUGGCAGAGGGGGGUGGAAUUCCACGUGUAGCAGUGAAAUGCGUAGAGAUGUGGAGGAACACCAAUGGCGAAGGCAGCCCCCUGGGCCAAUACUGACGCUCAUGCACGAAAGCGUGGGUAGCAAACAGGAUUAGAUACCCUGGUAGUCCACGCCCUAAACGAUGUCAACUAGGUGUUGGGUGGGUAAAACCAUUUAGUACCGGAGCUAACGCGUGAAGUUGACCGCCUGGGGAGUACGGCCGCAAGGUUA